Molecule: ribosomal RNA, 111 nt
Filed under: Candidatus Paraprevotella stercoravium
Lineage: Bacteria; Pseudomonadati; Bacteroidota; Bacteroidia; Bacteroidales; Prevotellaceae
Source: RNAcentral
UAAGGUGGCUAUAGUGCCGGGGUUCCACCUCUUCCCAUUCCGAACAGAGAAGUUAAGCCCGGCCGCGCCGAUGGUACUGCGUAACAGUGGGAGAGUAGGUAGCCGCCGUCU